This 412-nucleotide small RNA is filed under the name Pan troglodytes (chimpanzee). RNAcentral describes it as "processed transcript". The record is from RNAcentral. Lineage: Eukaryota; Metazoa; Chordata; Mammalia; Primates; Hominidae.
CUGAAGUACUUUAUUUUUUAAUUGUUCAGCCACGAGGAGGGGUGGAAGAAGGCCCUACAGUAUUGAGAAAGGCUGGUCUGCUUGAGAAACUUAAAGAACAAGAGUGUGAUGUGAAGGAUUAUGGGGACCUGCCCUUUGCUGACAUCCCUAAUGACAGUCCCUUUCAAAUUGUGAAGAAUCCAAGGUCUGUGGGAAAAGCAAGCGAGCAGCUGGCUGACAAGGUGGCAGAAGUCAAGCAGAAUGGAAGAAUCAGCCUGGUGCUGGGCGGAGACCACAGGUCUUGUUGAAUAACUGUGUCUAUGGGAAUCUGGCACAAAAGAAGUGUAACCAAGGCCAUAAGAAGAGAGAAAAUAUAGAAAUAUAGACAGAAAAGCAUUGACCUAUAUUUUAUAUCAAAUUUUCUGCCUUUAAA